GGGGGAAUAGCUCAGUGGUAGAGCGCUGGAUUCCAGUCCCAGCGGUCGGUCGAUCCCCUCUUCCCUCA
Molecule: transfer RNA, 68 nt
Filed under: Phytophthora infestans (potato late blight agent)
Lineage: Eukaryota; Oomycota; Peronosporomycetes; Peronosporales; Peronosporaceae
Description: tRNA-Trp
Rfam family: tRNA
About the family: Transfer RNA (tRNA) molecules are approximately 80 nucleotides in length. Their secondary structure includes four short double-helical elements and three loops (D, anti-codon, and T loops).
Source: RNAcentral